CAACACUGGAAAUUUUAUUUCUAGUGAUUGGAAUGAUGGGAAUUUAAACCCCUUUCAGAGUAACAAUUGGAGGGCAAGUCUGGUGCCAGCAGCCGCGGUAAUUCCAGCUCCAAUAGCGUAUAUUAAAGUUGUUGCAGUUAAAAAGCUCGUAGUUGGAUGUCUGCUGGAAGCAAUCAGUCCGCCCUAUUUGUAGGGUGUGCACUUGAUGAAUUCUGGCAUCUAUGUCCUAAUGUGAUAGAUACGGCGGUGUAUAUGGGUUAAUCCUAUAUACCCGUUUUUGUAUAUUAUAUUGGGAUAAUACCGUUACUUUGAGAAAAUUAGAGUGUUUGAAGCAGGCUAAUUGCCUUGAAUACUGCAGCAUGGAAUAACAAUAUAGGAUUUCGGUUCUAUUUUGUUGGUUUCUAGGACUGAAAUAAUGAUUAAUAGGGACAGUUGGGGGCAUUCGUAUUUAACUGUCAGAGGUGAAAUUCUUAGAUUUGUUAAAGACGAACUACUGCGAAAGCAUUUGCCAAAGAUGUUUUCAUUAAUCAAGAACGAAAGUUAGGGGCUCGAAGACGAUCAGAUACCGUCGUAGUCUUAACCAUAAACUAUGCCGACUAGAGAUAGGAAAAUGUCAUUUUUCUGACUU
RNAcentral lists this ribosomal RNA (628 nucleotides) under Sarcocystis hjorti. Its description in RNAcentral is "SSU rRNA". It matches the Rfam family "Eukaryotic small subunit ribosomal RNA", at positions 477 to 1077 of the family's 1831-position model. The record is from RNAcentral. Lineage: Eukaryota; Apicomplexa; Conoidasida; Eucoccidiorida; Sarcocystidae.